Zootermopsis nevadensis is the source of this 577-nucleotide non-coding RNA. NCBI's taxonomy places the organism in Eukaryota, Metazoa, Arthropoda, Insecta, Blattodea, Termopsidae. The record is from RefSeq and is a predicted model, not a curated record.
UUGCACAUUUCUAACAGUUAUUGUGUCGAAUUUUAAAGUUUUAAUGAUAUUUCAUUACUAUUGAAUGAUUUUAAACGUAGGGGGACGUUCCUAGAUUUUUUAUUCAUGUCUAAGGAAUAUUUCCAUACUAUUGUCGAAACUCACUGAAUCAACAUGCAGUUGCGGACAAUGUGGAUCUUCUUACAACAGAUGUUUCUGUUGUCGAAAAACUUGACCAUCGCGACCCCUUUCAGGGUUUUCUCGCAAAAGUACUGCAGUGGUUUCGCCUUGCCUUCUGUGACCAGUCUUUACCAACCAGACUGGAAGAGGAGACGCAGACAAACAUCCAUGCCUUGAGUGGGACUCGAACCCACGGUCGCAGCGACCGGACGCACGAGGACCACGCCUCAGACCACUGCACCGGCAAUCAACAUGUGGGAAACAAAAAAAUCUUUUCAUAAUCUACCAACAUAUGAAGAUGGCCACUACCAACAUCUGUCGGGCUAUCGGCAGAGAAUCCAACCCCACUGUCAUGAGUGGAGGAAUCGACAGACAUGUGGCGCUCUUUGAACGCGCUGCAGCUGCUGUCUGCGGCAGA